AUGGAUGUGAGGACUCUUUCCCCAAAUUAUUGACUGUGAUUAUACUGUGCGCAACUGUAAUCCUUCAUUGGAGGAUUCCAAGCCAGAAGUCUGAUCCGU
Hordeum vulgare subsp. vulgare (domesticated barley) is the source of this 99-nucleotide non-coding RNA. NCBI's taxonomy places the organism in Eukaryota, Viridiplantae, Streptophyta, Magnoliopsida, Poales, Poaceae. The record is from Rfam.